GUCUUGUCUCUUUUUUAAAGCUGCAGAACACAGCACAACAAGGAGGUGAUAGCUGCAGUGGUUCAAGCAGUAAAAGAUGCAGAACCAAAUUGGAGCUUCCACCAAGUUAGAAAAAAUUGGAGUCUUCAUAUGAAGAAUUCUCACAGAGGAUGGACCACAUGGAAGAAAAACAAGCGGCGAUAUCCCAGACUCUAGAAGUCCUACUCCACAAAAUUGAGAACAUGCAAGAAGAACAAGCGGCGAUAUCCCAGACUCUAGAAGUCCUACUCCACAAAUUUGAGAACAUGCAAGAAAACCAAGCAGCCAGGACACCCGACACAAAAACACCUACUGAACUUUCAACUCUUGUCCGUCACAUACACAAGAAUCUUGGAGAGCAGCUUCAGUGGAAGAUCCGGCCAACUGACA
This 408-nucleotide long non-coding RNA is filed under the name Oryzias javanicus (javanese ricefish). RNAcentral describes it as "lncRNA (ENSOJAG00000008795.1)". The record is from RNAcentral. Lineage: Eukaryota; Metazoa; Chordata; Actinopteri; Beloniformes; Adrianichthyidae.